Molecule: non-coding RNA, 498 nt
Organism: Drosophila kikkawai
Lineage: Eukaryota; Metazoa; Arthropoda; Insecta; Diptera; Drosophilidae
Source: RefSeq, a predicted model, not a curated record
GGGCAACACACAACACGUAUACGAGUAGUGGGCCGCGAGUGGGGCACUUAUUUCGUCAUCGCGUGAGAUCCCAGAGCUAAAAAAAAAAAAACAACUCUGCGGUGUGAGAAAUGAUGUAACGUUAGCUCUGGAUAAAUAUAGAAAACUCAUUCAGGCAGAGACAGCAGCAGCGGCGAGCCAAGACAUUCCGAGUAGCAAUACUUAUGCGAUCAUCCAACAGACGCUCACACACGAAGCUUGGUAGUUACUGGCUGCUCUAUAUAUAAUAUUUGGUUUAUCGGGGGCCUUAUCAGCCACCGUCUGGCCGAGGGCAGUCAUCGUGGAGAGGCAUUUUUAACCGCCCCAGAACAGUCUCGUGCUGAUUAGGUGGAUCCCCCUCCGAAUCCUACUCCUGGAAUUAAAUGUACGCAACCGAGUCGAUAAACUGAUAAGCCCAUAGCCACUCUGCAAAUAGCAGCAAGGCGAGAGAAAAAUAAAUAUUUAACCCCUAUUAAUACA